UCCCACAUACUGGACUGCUUGCGCCAGAACUUGAGCCACUACCCAAUCCCAGACCAGACUUGAUCUUGCUCCAGAACUUAUUCUUUGUACCUUUUGCCUUUCCCCAUUUCUUGCUGCCUGAAGCUGCUGCACUAGGGGUCUUAGAACCCGAAGGCUGUGCCACUUGCUGUUUUACUAUAUCCUGAAUGAUGGCACUUGCCUCCAUCUUCCUGGCUGCAUCCACAAUAGAG
This 230-nucleotide long non-coding RNA is filed under the name Manihot esculenta (cassava). Its description in RNAcentral is "long non-coding RNA (MESC_LNC004523)". Lineage: Eukaryota; Viridiplantae; Streptophyta; Magnoliopsida; Malpighiales; Euphorbiaceae. The record is from RNAcentral.